AUUGAACGCUGGCGGCAGGCCUAACACAUGCAAGUCGAACGGUAACAGGAAACAGCUUGCUGUUUCGCUGACGAGUGGCGGACGGGUGAGGAAUGCCUGGGAAACUGCCUGAUGGAGGGGGAUAACUACUGGAAACGGUAGCUAAUACCGCAUAACGUCGCAAGACCAAAGAGGGGGACCCUCGGGCCUCUUGCCAUCGGAUGUGCCCAGAUGGGAUUAGCUUGUUGGUGGGGUAACGGCUCACCAAGGCGACGAUCCCUAGCUGGUCUGAGAGGAUGACCAGCCACACUGGAACUGAGACACGGUCCAGACUCCUACGGGAGGCAGCAGUGGGGAAUAUUGCACAAUGGGCGCAAGCCUGAUGCAGCCAUGCCGCGUGUAUGAAGAAGGCCUUCGGGUUGUAAAGUACUUUCAGCGGGGAGGAAGGGAGUAAAGUUAAUACCUUUGCUCAUUGACGUUACCCGCAGAAGAAGCACCGGCUAACUCCGUG
Molecule: ribosomal RNA, 490 nt
Filed under: uncultured bacterium
Lineage: Bacteria
Description: partial 16S ribosomal RNA
Rfam family: Bacterial small subunit ribosomal RNA
Source: RNAcentral